Molecule: transfer RNA, 63 nt
Filed under: Cryptocephalus sp. CRY01
Lineage: Eukaryota; Metazoa; Arthropoda; Insecta; Coleoptera; Chrysomelidae
Description: tRNA-His
Source: RNAcentral
AUCUAAAUAGUUUAUAUAAAAUAUUAAUUUGUGGAGUUAAUGAAGCUGAUUGUGCUUUAGAUA